CGGGCCAUAGCGCAGCUUGGUAGCGCACUUGACUGGGGGUCAAGGGGUCGCGAGUUCAAAUCUCGCUGGCCCGA
This 74-nucleotide transfer RNA is filed under the name Bifidobacterium sp. RNAcentral's name for it is "tRNA-Pro". It matches the Rfam family "tRNA". From Rfam's summary of the family: Transfer RNA (tRNA) molecules are approximately 80 nucleotides in length. Their secondary structure includes four short double-helical elements and three loops (D, anti-codon, and T loops). The record is from RNAcentral. RNAcentral also lists the same sequence under 5 other names. Lineage: Bacteria; Bacillati; Actinomycetota; Actinomycetes; Bifidobacteriales; Bifidobacteriaceae.